Molecule: long non-coding RNA, 6385 nt
Organism: Parus major (Great Tit)
Lineage: Eukaryota; Metazoa; Chordata; Aves; Passeriformes; Paridae
Exons: 2
Source: RefSeq, a predicted model, not a curated record
CAGUUUCCCCAAGCGCCGCCCCGCGCUCCGGGCAGUGCUCCGCGGGGGAACCGGCUCUGCAGACGGGCGGGGGCAAAGCGACGCUGUGGGUUUUCCGCGAGUGGUUCUGCGCUGCCGGGGUGGGUGUCUGGCGUGGGUGCUCCCACGGUGCUGGGGAUGCACAAAAGGAGUGAAGCAGGGGCCUGGAGAAAUCGAGGCACGGCGAGGGGUGAGGACAGUGGGCAGACGGCGGGGGAUACUUCCAGGAGGGAGGAUGGAGACGGAUGAUGUCCUACCCGUUACUGGUGGCUCGCCAUCGGGCAUCCACGGCGGCUGGAGGUUGCCAUGGGCAUGAAGCCCCGUGGAGGGAGGUGGGCUGUGCUGUGAACCCCACCUUGGGGCACAGAGUUCUGGGGACAGAGCCCAGGGGACUUGUCUGGAGGGUGCCAGCCAGGCUGGGAGCUGCUUUGUCCUCACGGCAGCUGGCAAAAAUCAUUGACAGCAGUUUUCGCUGGCAACAGGACUGACCUCACCAUCCCGAGGGACUGCUGGGCUCCAAGGGGUCUGGCCCAGCCCAACAAGGACUUGUUUUUUGCCAACCAAUUCCCCAUGGAUAUAACUCUGUCCUAACCUUGAGCUUGCACCUCAGGGAGGCAUCACUCCUCACACUUGGGGCAGUUUAAUUAGCACUGAGCCCUCUGUCCCUGCUUAAACCUUCUGGAACUUGCCAAGAAAUUGCAGGGAGGGCACAGGAUGACCAGCUGGGCAGAUACCAUGGUUGAGUCUCGUUUUCCCAUAGUAGACCUAUGAGGAGAGCCAAGAUGCUGUGAUUUGGAGCACUGCGCUUUCCAGAAAGGCUUCCCUGGCCACUGUGGGUACAAAGAAAUGCUCAGAGGGGCAAAACCUGCUCCCAGCCCUGAUGCUUUUGGCUUGGGAACUGCAGCACUCGCAGCUGAUUCUGGCUGAGAUUUGGGCUCAGCCGCUUCCCCGGCUGCUGCCAUGACACAGUCCAGCGUUUGUAAACAGCCCGAGGUUCCUCAGCAAGGUGUCAUGGGAGGAAAUAGCUGGAUGCCGGGGAGUGCAGCGUCCUGACCUGCCCCUCACCCUUCUUGGUGACUAACCCGCUCCCAAUUUCCGCUCAGGAAGGCAUGAGUCGUGUUGGGAGGAUGUGAGAGCAGCUGUCCCAUUGCUCCUGGCAGGUGCCAUGGGACGAUAAAUCUGCUUUGGGCUCUGUCCUCACCAUGCUGCAUCCACCCAAGGCCCUGUGACCCUGUGCCACAUGGAUCCCCCUUCGACCUGCCAGCCUGUGCUUUAAGUAGGAGUGGAAUGUCUAUCCAGGCUCUGCUGGCAAUGCUCGUGUUGUGAGGAAAGGGGUGAGAGGGACUUCAUCGCAAGAUGUCAGGGCCAGCAAUGGGUGCAGGAAGGGUUGGGGAAGGGCUGCUCAUGGUGGGGAUGCCAAGGGCUGGGGGCUGCAGCCAGGUUUGUCUCAGAUGGUGGAUGGGACUGACACAGGCUCAGCCUCUGUGAUGGCAGGGGAGAGACAGGGCUUUUCCAUCUCUGGUCUGUGGGGACUCCCCAGACCUGACGCUGUAGCACCCUUGGAUGCCCACUCCAUGCCGUGACCAGCUCGGUGCCACCACCAGCCCCAGGCAGGUCCCUUUGCUCUCCGCAGCCACAGGCUGAUUGAACCCGGUCCCACACGGACACCACUUGUUUGCCUCCAGAUGUGAUGCCUAACGCAGAAGUGGGAUCACUUCCUUCCCCGUGCUGAUAACCACAGGGAAGGAAGGGCCUAUCUUAAUUAUGAGAGCCUUAACGAGGCCCCUCGACCCCAAGGGCAGCCCGAAGGGUGCUCAGCAGCUCACAGGCUGUGGGCAGGCGACUGCCGGUCGGGUUUGUCCUGAUCAGCUCCAUUCCCGCCCGCGCGGCGCUGCUCAGGCCGUGUGUGUGGGAGGGAAGUGCCGGGAUGUGAUGUGGGGAUGUGGCACGGAGCAGGUGUGAUGGGGGGACAGCCCAUGGGGAUGUGGCACGGAGCAGGUGUGAUGGAGGGGACAGCCCGUGGGGAUGUGGCACGGAGCAGGUGUGAUGGGGGGACAGCCCGUGGGGAUGUGGCACGGAGCAGGUGUGAUGGGGGGACAGCCCGUGGAGAAUCCCCCCCACUUCCUUCCUCACUGCCCAUGGAGCAGAGCAUCCAGUCCAGCCCUGACCUCCAGUCUCCCUUCAAAAGCAAACACCCCUCCAGCUUCUGUCCCGGGAGGAGCCCCGGGGUAUCCCAGAUGCUGCAGACAUCAUUUGGUGGAGAAGGUUUGUAUAUUUGAAGCACCGUGCCCUGGGUUCGCUGGGCAAGGUGAUGGUGCCGAGUUUGGGGAAACUGAGGCAGAAACAGCAGACAAGGUUUGUCUUGAGUUGUGCAAGAAGCCAGGGGUUAAAUACACCAAAAACCUCCCUCUAGCCCUCCUGCUGCUGCCCCCAGCUGCUGCAGGAGCUGAUCUGCGCUGGGAGUUAUUCUGGGGGAAGAAAAGCACAGAGCCUGGGGGCUUCCCACACCUUCCAUAACCUUCAUGCCCCUGCUGCAGCAGAGACCUGGGGCUCUCAGUGCCAGGGCAGGCCCGUAUUUCGGGGUCUCACUGCCACAUCACAGCCCCAGAGGAGGCAUGCAGAGGACGUGCCUCUGUUGCAAGAUGAACUGCAGCGUUUCCCUUGGAGGCACACAGCUCCUCCACAUCCCUGCCCGCUCUGCCGCGUCCGCCGGCAGCCACCCGGGGACGGGAACGGGAGGGGGAUGCACUCCUCCCGAAUCCAUCUCUUUUAGCAUCGUUCCCACUGCUGAAGGUACAUGUCUCAAGGUGGAGCCAGAAAUAGCGCGGCUGGCGCUGCAUCGGGGCUGGCAGGGCUGCAGGCUUGGCAGGGGGACAGGCACCGACUGCAGCAGUGGGAACUUUCCAGGCAGCUCCUGCGGGAGCGGAGCUGUUUCUGUGCAGACCCAGCCCCUGGACUGUGGAUCAGCCCCUCUCAGCCGUGAGGCUGGGGCUGACAUGGGGGGACCAGCACAGAGCAGGAGGAACAGAGAUAACAGGGAUAUCUCCUGGAGGAGAGUGGCUGCGAUCACAUCCCACCUGAGCUAGGACACAGGUCUGGGCUCUACCACUCAUUUGCUGCAGAACUCGGGAAAGUGGCUGCACCUUCUACCUGCUUCCAUGACCCAGGGGUGGCAGGUUUCCCUCAAAACCCAGCUUCUCUCGGGGCCCAGGGAGGAUUCUCAGCCUCCAAGGAGCUCAGGUUUUUUGUGGCAGCUCCUAAAUCACAGCCAGGCUCUGGAGCUCGGGGGCUGCUCCCCAGCGCUGACCCUCCGCUGAGCUCUCAGCAGCUGCCGGCACAGCCUGGGACCUCAGGGGUCACCGGGAGGCCCUGAACAAUGCCGACGAGCUGAGCUCAUUCUUCCCAGCUGAUAAUUUGCUUAAAAAUAUUUCUGAGCUCAGGCCUCCUCAGGGAAAACACUCCCAAACGCCAGGCAAAAAGCUGCUGAGUCUGGAGGAACCACACACCCACCACUCGCUCGCCGAGACGUCCCCCCGAUGACAAGCCCUGGCGUCAGAGGGACUGAGGCCAAAGUCUGCCGUUUGAUCUCCCCCUUCGCUGGGGGAAGCCGAAUUUCAGGCCUUCCAAGGGUUUUACCACUUCCCGGUAGCGGUUUCCUGCCAUGAUGUGAGUGCAGGAAUUUUUGGGAGGUGAGUCAGAGGCUGCAAUGAGAACCACCUGGUUGGGGCCGGGCUGGGAGGCUCGAUCUAGGGGUGAUCCCUGCUGCGAUGCUCGAUGCCUGCAUUCCCAGAGUGGAAUUACUUACUUGGGACACAACAUCCCAUCACAGACCCCAUUUCUGGCCUGGAAAAGAAGAAGAGGGAUUUGCUGAGUUCCCACGGCUCCUCCUUCCUUGCCGGGCUGGGAUCGGUACGCUCCGGCCACCCCACCCGGGCUCCAGGGAGAAGCUUGGGUAAGAAUAAAGAGCAAAACCUCAUCCAGCUCUGCAGGAAGCCGCUGGAAUGGCUGUCCCGCCCAGGCACCGGGUUGUCCCGAGCACGGAACUGCUCCAAAGCAGCAGCGAGGCUUGGUUUUCCCUGGGGAGCAAUGCGGGAGUUGGCGGAGCUGAGAAACUGCCCUCCCUGGUCUCUGAAAUUCAACUUACAGAAUGAGCUCCUGCUGAAGGAACCUCCCAGGUUUUGCCUCCUGGGCUAUUAAAGCUCCAUGACCCCGUGCCCACUCUCUCCCCAGCAUUACUCAAACCCCUCUGCGCAGAGAAUAAGUGAGUCGAGUCCAGAGAGUGAGACUGAGCCGGGAUAAGCCUUUGGAAAGGAGCUAAACCUGCUCAAAGCCGGCACUGUUCCCUGACCCGCCCUCCUAAUCCUGCCUGGCUGAUAAUGGAAUAAUAAAGGGCUGCACAGCCUCGCUCUCUGCUGCUCUGUGGGGGAGGUUCCUGCUGCCUCUGUACAUGCCAGGAGCUGGGAUAUUAAUGACUCCCUAAGUAAACAGAAUCGCUCCUUUCUUCUCCUUUGCCUGGCUGUAAAACCGAGCGUGACCUUCAGCCCGCAGAGAAAUCAGAGUCGCUCCCCUUUCCAGGAGAAAGGCUGGUUGUGGCAGUGAUAACACCGUGAUCUCUGCCCGCCACCCUUCCCAGGGCUGAUCCAAACCCUGCAGCAUCAGCAGCUGAUGGGCUCCUGGUGGGACUGGCAGGGCCACCCCUGCGAGGCUUUGGCCUCUCCCUGCAGGAAUGAAGCUGGUGGUUCACUGAGGGGGAACCUCAGGAGCACAGAAUGGGGGGAUUUGGGAAACCCAGCCCCUCCAAGGUGUGCACACCUUGUCUGCUGUGCCGGGGGCUGCCCUGUAGCAGAACCUACAAACUUGUGGCAUCUCAGCCUCAGCAGCUGGAAAAAGGGCAAGUGACAAUGCCGAUAAGAUCCAUUCCCUGUGGCUGGGAUGGCUCUGAGCACCUGACAGGACACCAGGAAUGGUGACAGGAGGAGGGUGCUGGGAGACCCAGAGGCCACAGCAGCAUCCCUGGGCUGCUGUGCUGAGGCUGCUGAAUGAGGAGCCAGCUGGGAAGGGGGUAAACAGCCCUUCCUUCUCCACAUGCCUGAUUCCAGGCAGGGAAGAGCUUUAAAGAGGAGGGCAAAGCAGGUCUCUGGGAGGGAGUUGGUGGGAGGCUGAGUGCUCUGCAGAGGGAUGUGCCAUGGUUCCUGCAGGGGCAAAAUUCCCUCCCUACCCUUUGGGCAUGCCCCUGCUGCUUGGGUGUCCCUGAAGCAGGAUGUCCCUUGCUUUCCUGGGAACUGCCAUUUCUCUGGUGGAUGCAGGAGGGACCUCGGGAGGUAGGCAGCUUCCUACAUCACAAAAAGUCUGGCUCUCACCAAAUUUUUUGAAGGACAAAGGCAGCAACCUGUGAGGAGUGACCAGCUGUACCGUGGGUGCUGUGACUGCUCUCGGCCUGGGGUUGGGGUGCCCAGGAGGGAUGUCUGGGCUCUCUGGCUGAUGGAUGUUGUGGAUUCAUCCCAGGAUAAUGCCAGCCUGGAGGUCUGAUUAGAAUCCCACACGUGGCUGUGGUGCCUCCUCAGAGUGAACUCGGCAGCUGAUGCUGUCAGCUCUCACCUCACACCUUGGGGGAACGAGCCGGGAUGUGAGAGCCAAGCUGGAAUAGCCCCUACAGCCCAGCUGGAAUAGUCCCUGCUCUGACAAGGCAUGAAUUUAGGACCUGCAGGAGGCACAGCAGGAGGGAGAUGUGGGGCUGGAACUGCAGGGACAGGUAAGGUAUCAGCAGGCGUGGUGGAGUGAGACAAAACUCUCCCGGUCCUUGGGCAGUGCUGGCAUACACAGGGGACAUGGACAGUCCUCUCUCGUUUGCAUGGAGGAUAUCUGGGAGAGACAAGCUUUAAUGAAGUGUCAGCUCAAGGGGCUGAUGGCAGAGCUGCAGCUCCCAGCUGAGUCUGUGACAGGGAGUCACUGUGGCUGUCACAGCUGGAAAGCCACUGGUCAUGGAGGGAAACCUCGUCCAUAUCCUGAAUGAAGCCCACCAGGCCUCCUCCUCCUCCUCCUCCCUCCCUCCCAGCUGGGAGGACACAGGCCAAGGGAUGAUGGUGUUACACAGCAGCUUCGAGAACUGCCAGGAAAAGCCUCUCCCUCCAGGAUGAACCAAGUGAUGUGGGGCAAUGCUGGUGAUUAAAGUAAUGCAAUUUGCCUUUCCUGCAAUACAUAAUUUCUGUCAUAUACCCUCAUUUCUGCUGCUCUGUGGGGUGCUCUGAUCCAUCCUGACCACAGGGGAUGGAUCCCAACAGUGUUGUCACCUCCCAUCAUUUUCCCAGCUGCAAAGGCUGAGAUGUAUAUUGUACAUAUAUAAAAUAAAAUUAAAAAGAAAUGUAAA